AUGAAGAGAAAAGCUGGGCCAAACACCAUUAAGAUUAAUGCCUUUUUUAAGCCGGUUGCUUCAAGUUCUCAACCUACUGAAAUUGUUAGUGAGGCGGAUGUGCAAGUUACAAAUCCGAGUCCAGUUAACGCUUCUGAUCAGGAUAUGCCGGACGUGGUAAAUGUUGCAGAACAAGCAGAAGUUAUAACCACACCUUAUCAGAGAGACCCCGGUAAACGCUGUCAAAUUUGGGAUCUCCCACCGGACAAGCAAGAUGACGCUCGGCAUUUUUAUAUAUCUAAGGGAGCAUAUCGACCGGAGUUGGAAGAGUACCCAUUUGAUGAAAAGUCUAAACACCAUCGUCGAUUUCAAAAAGAUUGGUACACAAAUUUCUGGUGGCUUGAGUAUUCAACACACAAUGAUAGCGCAUAUUGUUUGCCGUGCUUUCUGUUCUCAAAAAAACCUGUUGGGAGAUGUGGGUCUGAUACAUUCUCGGUCAAGGGUUUUAGAAACUGGAAAAAGGUUAACAAUGGAAAAGCAUGUGCUUUUUUAACUGAUGUUGGGGGCCCGGACUCUGCUCACAACUAUUCCGUUUGGUGCUAUGAAGAUCUCAAGAGCAGUAUGGCUCAUAUCGACAAGAUGAUGGAAAAGAAAAAUGAGAAAGUAGCUACUAAUGCGAGAUUGAGGCUUAAGACUACCAUCGAUGCCAUGAGGUGGAUGGAACUAGUGCACCAUAAACCAGCGCCGGCUAUGGAGUCUUCUGUGAGCUUUCUGAGGAGGUACUUGGAUGAACUAAUAGGUAUCAAACGAAUUCUGAAAUGGAUCCGAUGA
Molecule: ribosomal RNA, 810 nt
Filed under: Triticum aestivum (bread wheat)
Lineage: Eukaryota; Viridiplantae; Streptophyta; Magnoliopsida; Poales; Poaceae
Description: partial small subunit ribosomal RNA
Source: RNAcentral